GCUUCUUCUCCAUGUGGAGAUGAUGCGCACUGAGGUGAUGAAGUUGCAGACCUCAGGGAACUACCCGAGCAGGCUCCAAAGAGCGGUGGCAAAAUGACACCUCUGCACGCCCAGCCCCAGCUCCCUUUGGAGCAGUUCUCAAUAUGGCCACGAGGUGGCAGCACAGCAGGCCUCUGUUCAGGGCAAGCCCAUCGUUUCCUCAGGGAUCCAGGGCAUGGCCUCCCGGCUGGUGGUUGAGCGUCCCAAGGGUGGCAUCACCACUGCCAGGACCAGUGUCUGUCUCUGUCUCGGGACACAGAGGCUAUAACUCUCUGUUGACUGUCUUCAUGCUGCACCCUGAGCCAUUUACAGCAGGAUGCCCAUCUGAUUCCCUCUGAGCCCCAAGAAUGGUUAGGAAAGGAAUAUUUGUACGUCUUAAAUCUCACAAUAAAUGAUAUGAUCCCAGUUUUACAGGUGACCAGAUCAAGGGCGACAGUAAUUAAGUGACUGGCUCCAGGUCACAGCCAAUGAGGAAUAUGACACUACUUUAAAUUUUAUUACAGAAAUUUUCAAACAUAUACAGAAGAAAAUAUCCGUAACUCCCACAGUAUUUAUCAUCCAGUUUCAACCACUAUCAACAUUUUGCCACUUAUUUUUCUCCUAUCCUCAUUUUUUUUUUUACCAGAGCAUUUAUAAAGCAAAUUCCAGACCCUGUGGCAAUUUACUGUAAAUACUUCCAUUUGCACCUCUAAACAAUUAGAACAUUUUACCUAACCACCAGGCCAUUAUCUCUCCCUAAUAAAAGUAUCAAUAACUCCUUAUUAUCAUCUAAUACUGCUUAUAUUCAAAUUUCCUCCCCCUUUCACAAAUGUCUUUUUGACAGCUGGUCUGUUCUGUCUGAUCCAAAUAAGGUCCACACACUCCAUUUGGUCCUGUCUUUUAAGCAGUUUUAUUCUCAAACAGUCGUCCUUUCUUUUUUUCUCGAGGCCCUUCGUUAAUGAAUAAACUAGGCCAUUUGUCUGGUAUAACAUCCCACAUUCUGGAUUUGGCUGUUUGCCUCCUCCUGCAGGUGGCACAGGGCCUGGCACAGAGCAGGUGUUCAUUCAACAUUACAAAUCCUGUUAAGGGGAGCAAAGAGAAAGAACAGAGGUGUGGUCCUCACAAGUGUGAUAGGUAGGCAGCACUCCACUUGAGGGGCCACAAGCUCCAGCCAUGGGAUCGUGGGGAGCCCACAGGCUCCAGCCCCGGGAUCUUGGGGAGACCACAGGCUCCAGCCCCGGCAUCUUGGGGAGACCACAGGCUCCAGCCCCGGGAUCUUGGGGAGCCCACAGGCUCCAGCCCUGGGAUCUUGGGGAGCCCACAGGCUCCAGCCCUCCAUCUUGGUGGUGAGGACUGCAGGCCAAACAGUUGAAGCAGGAGCCAGACCAGAGCUCCUCGGGGCCCCUCGCUGGAGGGACAGAAGCCACGGGACAUAAGAACAAAUGGCAGCUCCUCUUCCAGCGCCUCGGCUUCUUCGUGCCACGUGAUAUACUAUCGCUGACCUUCGUCAUAUAAAGAAUACGUUUGUAUUUGUGAGCUUUAGCUUGGUCCCUAAAGUCUUCCUAGGUGCUGCUCUCAUUUUGUUGUUCUGUGUUUUAUUCAGAGCAAACUGAAGGGGAUAGAAAAGUGCAAGCAAAACCAACAAGCACCCACAUUCCCAGCAUCCAACAUCAACACUGCUAACGUUUUGUCCCAUUUUCUUCCGGGGUGUUUUUUUGUUGGAGCCCCCAACCACCGCCUUGCUCCUCCUCCCCGUCCGUCGCCGCCGCAGGGCAGCCAGCCCAGGGCGGAGCCUCCCAGAGGCCGCUGACCGCCGUCUCCUAAAGGACCUGCACAAGCGCGCCCCCGUGCUCUGCCCUCGGCCCAGGUGCACUGAACCAGCGCAGUCCCAGGAGCCGGGGCCGUGACGGAGGACGGGACAAACGCCUGCCCGGACCCAAGCCGACUCCUGGAGCCAACGGCGGCCCGAAACGUGAAGACACGUUCUACUGGAAACCGGCCGCCAAGUCCUGCAGGCGCCGAACACGCGCACUUCCGGCGUCCCGCCCCGCCCCAUGCUCACUCCCCAUUGGUCCCUCA
This is a long non-coding RNA of Equus caballus (horse), 2097 nucleotides long. The record is from Ensembl. Lineage: Eukaryota; Metazoa; Chordata; Mammalia; Perissodactyla; Equidae.